Molecule: ribosomal RNA, 851 nt
Filed under: Paenarthrobacter nicotinovorans
Lineage: Bacteria; Bacillati; Actinomycetota; Actinomycetes; Micrococcales; Micrococcaceae
Description: bacterial SSU rRNA
Rfam family: Bacterial small subunit ribosomal RNA
Source: RNAcentral
AGCUUGCUGGGGGAUUAGUGGCGAACGGGUGAGUAACACGUGAGUAACCUGCCCUUGACUCUGGGAUAAGCCUGGGAAACUGGGUCUAAUACCGGAUAUGACUCCUCAUCGCAUGGUGGGGGGUGGAAAGCUUUUGUGGUUUUGGAUGGACUCGCGGCCUAUCAGCUUGUUGGUGGGGUAAUGGCCUACCAAGGCGACGACGGGUAGCCGGCCUGAGAGGGUGACCGGCCACACUGGGACUGAGACACGGCCCAGACUCCUACGGGAGGCAGCAGUGGGGAAUAUUGCACAAUGGGCGCAAGCCUGAUGCAGCGACGCCGCGUGAGGGAUGACGGCCUUCGGGUUGUAAACCUCUUUCAGUAGGGAAGAAGCGAAAGUGACGGUACCUGCAGAAGAAGCGCCGGCUAACUACGUGCCAGCAGCCGCGGUAAUACGUAGGGCGCAAGCGUUAUCCGGAAUUAUUGGGCGUAAAGAGCUCGUAGGCGGUUUGUCGCGUCUGCUGUGAAAGACCGGGGCUCAACUCCGGUUCUGCAGUGGGUACGGGCAGACUAGAGUGCAGUAGGGGAGACUGGAAUUCCUGGUGUAGCGGUGAAAUGCGCAGAUAUCAGGAGGAACACCGAUGGCGAAAGGCAGGUCUCUGGGCUGUAACUGACGCUGAGGAGCGAAAGCAUGGGGAGCGAACAGGAUUAGAUACCCUGGUAGUCCAUGCCGUAAACGUUGGGCACUAGGUGUGGGGGACAUUCCACGUUUUCCGCGCCGUAGCUAACGCAUUAGUGCCCCGCCUGGGGAGUACGGCCGCAAGCUAAACUCAAGGAUUGACGGGGGCCCGCACAGCGCGAGCAUGCGAUAUC